Balaenoptera ricei (Rice's whale) is the source of this 870-nucleotide long non-coding RNA. RefSeq lists it as uncharacterized. The record is from RefSeq and is a predicted model, not a curated record. The transcript has 4 exons. Lineage: Eukaryota; Metazoa; Chordata; Mammalia; Artiodactyla; Balaenopteridae.
AAGCUGGAUAAGGAAGAAGCUGCUACAGCUGAGGUUUGGCGGCUGCUCAGGGAGCACAUUCCACUCUUCCGAGCCUCCGAGGAGUGCCUUGCUCCUUUCCAGAAGGACUGAACUGCUCCCUCCCUUAAGGCGUUUUGCGGAAUCACCCAUCAAAGCCCAUCAGCUGCCCCUGCAUUUCCAGGUGGUGUGCAUUUGGCUCAGAUGAGCCUGGAGCAUGGUGGAUCCCUGUGAGCUGACUUGAUCCAAACACUGCUCCCUGUUUUGAAGACCAUGAGCUGAUCUUGGGAGAGGAAAGUUGUGAGGGGAAGUCGGGGGACAACUUGAAUAACAAGGAUUUGAUUUAAGCAUCAGUGUUGGACAGGAAGAUGCUGGGGUCGAAUCAUCAGAAGAAGCCGGAUAACUCACCACAGUGAAUGUGCUGAGAGAGAAGAUGAAUAAUAACUCUCUUGCACAUCUGAUCCCAUCUUGACCUCUGCAUCCCCAGGACCUGAACUGGCCUGUGGCCUGAGGUCACGCAGCCAGCAAGUGGCUGAGUGGGUGGAUUGAAAGCCAAGGUCUUAAAGCCAGGUCUUUUGGACCCCUGGGCCACUCUGCCUCUGUAGAGAAGUCGUAAAGGAAUUUUGGGCACCUUUUUUAUUUAUGUCUCCUUCGAAUCACAUGAAAAUGACAAGCCUUGUUUUCCUACUUUUUUUUUCUGACAGAAUUAAUAUCUCUGCUCAUUCCCUCCUCCCCAAAAGAGAUGCAACUUGUUAGCACAAAAAAUCCAAAUGUAUUCUCUAAAAAUGAUGGAUCUGGCACCGAGUCUUCCUAAAAGAAUGAUAUUCCUCUAACUGUAGAAUGCAGGAGAAGAAAGGUGAUUUAUCAUAGAAA